Molecule: ribosomal RNA, 399 nt
Filed under: Triticum aestivum (bread wheat)
Lineage: Eukaryota; Viridiplantae; Streptophyta; Magnoliopsida; Poales; Poaceae
Description: partial small subunit ribosomal RNA
Source: RNAcentral
AUGGCCUUGUUGGGUGCAUGGAGCAAACCCCAUGUGGGGGUUACAGAUCCAUUCAUUGGAGAAACCUUGGCGCUGCGAGAUGGAGUUAUUUUUGCUAAUCUUUGCGGUUUCUCUCAUGUAAUUCUGGAAACAGACUGCCUAGAGAUUGUCAAUCUCUGGAAUCAUCGACACAAUGGUUUAUCUGUUGUGGCACCGCUUCUUGUAGAAAUUGGAGAGCUAGCGUCAUCUUUUGCUUCUUUUCAUAUUCAACAUGUAUCAAGAUCAGCCAAUGUACCGGCUCAUUUUUGUGCAAAGCAUGCAUGCACACUGCUGGUUACCGAAAGUUGGACUGAUUCUAGACCCUCUUUCCUGCUCACUAGCCUUCUGGCUGAUGAUCCCAGGAGUUCUUUUGUUGAAUAA